GACGAACGCUGGCGGCGUGCUUAACACAUGCAAGUCGAACGGAAAGUUUUUUUUUUUGUGGGGUGCUCGAGUGUCUAACGUGUGAGUAACACGUUAGUAACCUGCCCUUGACUUUGGGAUAAUUUCAGGAAACUGGGGCCAAUACCGGAUAGGAGCUCCUGCUGCCUGGUGGGGGCUGGCAAGUUUCGGCGGUUGGGGUUGGACUCUCGGCUUAUCAGCUUGUUGGUGGGGUAGUGACUUACCAAGACUUUGACGGGUAGCCGGCCUGAGCGGGUGACCGGCCACAAAGGGACGAAGAUGCGGCGAAGACUCAUACGGGGGGGGGGAGGGGGGAAGAUUGGACAGUAGGGGGAAGACGGAUGCAGGAACAACGCAGGAGGGAGGAAGGACGUCGGAGUGUAGUCCGCUUCCGCCUGUGAAGAAGCGAGAGUGACGGUAACGGGUGAAGAAGCACCGGCUAACUACGUG
RNAcentral lists this ribosomal RNA (468 nucleotides) under uncultured bacterium. RNAcentral's name for it is "partial 16S ribosomal RNA". It matches the Rfam family "Bacterial small subunit ribosomal RNA", at positions 28 to 507 of the family's 1533-position model. The record is from RNAcentral.